This 72-nucleotide transfer RNA is filed under the name Marmota marmota marmota (Alpine marmot). It matches the Rfam family "tRNA". From Rfam's summary of the family: Transfer RNA (tRNA) molecules are approximately 80 nucleotides in length. Their secondary structure includes four short double-helical elements and three loops (D, anti-codon, and T loops). The record is from Rfam by way of RNAcentral. Lineage: Eukaryota; Metazoa; Chordata; Mammalia; Rodentia; Sciuridae. RNAcentral also lists the same sequence under 1 other name.
UUAGGUGUAGUUCAGUGAUAGAAGCUGUGUUUAGCAUGCAUGAGACUCUGGGUUUGAUUCCCAGCACCAAAU